This 516-nucleotide ribosomal RNA is filed under the name uncultured bacterium. RNAcentral's name for it is "bacterial SSU rRNA". It matches the Rfam family "Bacterial small subunit ribosomal RNA", at positions 28 to 526 of the family's 1533-position model. The record is from RNAcentral.
GAUGAACGCUGGCGGCGUGCCUAAUACAUGCAAGUCGAGCGAACAGAUAAGGAGCUUGCUCCUUUGACGUUAGCGGCGGACGGGUGAGUAACACGUGGAUAACCUACCUAUAAGACUGGGAUAACUUCGGGAAACCGGAGCUAAUACCGGAUAACAUAUUGAACCGCAUGGUUCAAUAGUGAAAGGCGGCUUUGCUGUCACUUAUAGAUGGAUCCGCGCCGUAUUAGCUAGUUGGUAAGGUAACGGCUUACCAAGGCAACGAUACGUAGCCGACCUGAGAGGGUGAUCGGCCACACUGGAACUGAGACACGGUCCAGACUCCUACGGGAGGCAGCAGUAGGGAAUCUUCCGCAAUGGGCGAAAGCCUGACGGAGCAACGCCGCGUGAGUGAUGAAGGUCUUCGGAUCGUAAAACUCUGUUAUCAGGGAAGAACAAAUGUGUAAGUAACUGUGCACAUCUUGACGGUACCUGAUCAGAAAGCCACGGCUAACUACGUGCCAGCAGCCGCAGUAAUAC